CUUAACACAUGCAAGUCGAGCGGGGGAAGGUAGCUUGCUACUGGACCUAGCGGCGGACGGGUGAGUAAUGCUUAGGAAUCUGCCUAUUAGUGGGGGACAACAUUCCGAAAGGAAUGCUAAUACCGCAUACGUCCUACGGGAGAAAGCAGGGGACCUUCGGGCCUUGCGCUAAUAGAUGAGCCUAAGUCGGAUUAGCUAGUUGGUGGGGUAAAGGCCUACCAAGGCGACGAUCUGUAGCGGGUCUGAGAGGAUGAUCCGCCACACUGGGACUGAGACACGGCCCAGACUCCUACGGGAGGCAGCAGUGGGGAAUAUUGGACAAUGGGGGGAACCCUGAUCCAGCCAUGCCGCGUGUGUGAAGAAGGCCUUAUGGUUGUAAAGCACUUUAAGCGAGGAGGAGGCUACUAGUAUUAAUACUACUGGAUAGUGGACGUUACUCGCAGAAUAAGCACCGGCUAACUCUGUGCCAGCAGCCGCGGUAAUACAGAGGGUGCGAGCGUUAAUCGGAUUUACUGGGCGUAAAGCGUGCGUAGGCGGCCAUUUAAGUCAAAUGUGAAAUCCCCGAGCUUAACUUGGGAAUUGCAUUCGAUACUGGAUGGCUAGAGUAUGGGAGAGGAUGGUAGAAUUCCAGGUGUAGCGGUGAAAUGCGUAGAGAUCUGGAGGAAUACCGAUGGCGAAGGCAGCCAUCUGGCCUAAUACUGACGCUGAGGU
RNAcentral lists this ribosomal RNA (711 nucleotides) under Acinetobacter sp. H742. RNAcentral describes it as "bacterial SSU rRNA". It matches the Rfam family "Bacterial small subunit ribosomal RNA", at positions 47 to 752 of the family's 1533-position model. Lineage: Bacteria; Pseudomonadati; Pseudomonadota; Gammaproteobacteria; Moraxellales; Moraxellaceae. The record is from RNAcentral.